AGCUCAUAGAUGUCUUCUGAAAUGUGGAAGAAAUACUUUCGUUUGUCAUAAAACCUCAGCAGGAGAUUGGAGUCUGGAAGAGGGAGGGGAGAAGAGGAGGACCUCAGGGAGAUUGUUUUGCUUAUUGGUGUUUAAUUAAAAACCAAACAACUUUUCCUAUUAACUUGAUGCUACUUAUUAAUUGAAAUGAGGAGACUGACUCUGGAUAUUGGGAAAAUUUAUGACCCUAGUAAUCACCAUUCCACUCUCUACUUCUAUGAGUUUGACUAAGAUUCCACAUGGCACAUACAGAGGAAAAGACAUGUGGGGACAUAAUGAGAGGACAGCCAUCUGCAAGCCAAGAAGAGAAUCCUCACCAGAAACCAACUUGACUGGAAUCUUGAUCUUGAACUUCUUGCUUCCAGAAUUAUGAGAAAAUAAAUUGUUGUUUAACCCACACAGUCUAUUGUACUUAGUUGUAGCAGUCUGAGAAGACUAAUACAUUGAUAAACUGGUCAGUUACAACAAUGAAUAUAUUAUUUAUACAUUAUAUAAAUGAUUAUAGUUUCUGUAUUAGCUUAGAUUUUGCAAAUUUGUCAAUAGCUUUGUCCAAGUUGAUUUUCUUUAUAUAUUCCUAUUUCAUAGACUAUAUUAGCUAGAUUUGUCAAUCUAUCUUACUCAUAAUGACUGAAGAACACUUUUAAAUUCAAUUUAAAAGGUUUUUGUCACAUAAAGCAACAAAUAUAAAACUAGAAAAAAUAUAAAUAUGAAUAUAAAUUUGAAGGAAAUUAAUAAAAAUCGUAUUGUACCAUAUAUUCCAGAAAUUUUAAACACUGAUGAAAACUUCAAGUGGUACCAAGGAAUGAGAGAAUUGAAGUAAUUCAAGUGUUAUAUUUCAUCUUUUCUAUCACUAGGUUGUCAUCAAUUAUUUCAAAUCUGUUUUUUUUUUUAUUGUAAUUAAACUUCUAAGUUCAGGGACACAUGUGAAGGUUUGUUAUAUGGGUAGACUUGUGUCAUAGGGUUUUGUUGUACAGAUUACUUCAUGAAUCCGUUAUUAAGUGCAGUACCCAUUAGUUAUUUUUUCUGAUCCUCUCCUUCCUUGCACCCUCCACCCUCUGAUAAGACCAACUGUCUGUUGUUCCCUCUAUGUGUCCAUAUGUACUCAUCAUUCAGCACCCACUUGUGAGAACAUACAAUAUUUGUUUUUCUGUUCCUGAAUUAGUUUGCUAAGGAUAAUGGCCUCCAGCUGCAUGAUGCUCCUGCAAGGGGCAUGAUCUUAUUCUUUCUUGUGGCUGCAUAGUAUUCCACGGUGUAUAUGUACCACAUUUUCUUUAUUCAAUCUGUCAUUGAUGGGAAUUUAGGUUGAUUC
Molecule: long non-coding RNA, 1348 nt
Filed under: Homo sapiens (human)
Lineage: Eukaryota; Metazoa; Chordata; Mammalia; Primates; Hominidae
Description: HSALNT0321197
Source: RNAcentral